CUUUUAUUUUACAAAUACAAGCCAUUCAACAUAGAUAUAUGUAAUAAUUCUAAAUGCUAUUUGGCCUUUGUUUACCUCCGCCCUACCGCUUUCUCAUCGCUGUUUCUUCAAACGUCUGAAUUUGGGACAUCUUUUAAAACUAUGCCCCCGCCUCUCCCUGUCCUGAAGACUACACACACUCGAAGUCGCGCACACCAAAAAGAAUUGGUCACCGAGAGAAAGGGCGGCAACAGAUUUUAAAAAGAAAAAUAAGUCACAGGCAAUUUUGCCAUAGACAGUGGCAACGUAUCUACCAGCCUGUCUAUGACCCUCAAUAAACAUGUUCAGAAAUGGUGAAAAGGCUAGCGAAGCAGACUGUCAAACAAGAGACAGAAACGGGGCGGGGGGCGGGGGGCGGGGGUCUGAUGACCCGCAGCGGCUGCUUUAGAACCGGCUGGGCCGCCCCGGGCCGCAGCCCGCGCAGAAAGCUGCGCGCGCCCUUAGGACCUUUUGAACUCUGGCCGCUCGACAAAAACACCCUUUUGAAAAGGUGGCAUUCACUGGGCUGACAGAAUUAAGCAACACCAAAUUAAGGCGCUAAUAAAAAGCGCGUUGGGCUCAGAACUGCGCCUCUGGUUUUAAUCCCGGCGUUUUGGAUUAAUAUCAGGUGCUAAUUUCGAACAUUUAGGGCAGCUCUUCGGAGGAUAUAAAGAAGGGAACGGCAUAAUUAUUAAACUUUUUCUUUUAUGCUAGAAGAGCUGGGGGUGGGGGUGCGUUUCUUGUUAGGAGCACUCUGGUAGCAUUAAUUACGUGCAAAAGGAGUAAAUUUGAAGGCAAACACCGAAACAUCGCUCGGCCUUCCUCCAGGUCCUCUUGGGAACGGCGGGUCUGCGCGGGAGAAGGGAGGAGCGCUUUGCACGCAAAGGCGUUUUGCACCGGGAGGCCAGACCCCGCUCCCGGGGUGGCCCCAAGUCCGCGCCCAAAGGUAGGCACGUACAGGCAGCCAAAUCUGCUUCUCCGCAAUUAACCGGGGUCUUGUGAAGAUUCCCCGUCCGAGGUUCCGCCCAGAGGAUGACUGGGAGAGGGCUGAACGUGGAGUAGAGUUGUUCUUUUUCCUUCCUUUGAGCGCAGCCUGAAGGCAGAGGGCCUGAUUAGGCCUCCUGGUGUGCGGCUUGGUGCGUUUCAGACCAGCGGCCUGGCUGGGAAGUCGUCCACCCUUGUCGCACUCCCAGCCCAGACUCCUCGGUUUGGAGAGCCAUGGGGCCCACGGCGUGAUCACUCCCGUCCCAUUAGGUCCAUCGGUGGAGAAACCUGAGCCGGGCGUCUGCAGUGCCGCGGGCACCGUCUGCCCCCGCGCGCCCCUGGGGUUGCGGCUGCUGCGCCGUGGGCUCGGGCCGGUCGGCCCUUCUUAUGCCCGCACAAAGGCUUGGAGAUUCCACCUGCCACCACUUGAGGGGAGCAGCAGCUGUGUUUUCUGAUGCCCCCCAUCUGCUGGAAGUUGUGCAGGACAGCUCUUGCUCUUCCUUUGGCAGGUCUUCUGUGUGUUUUGAUGGACCAUCCAUCCAUGUCAGGUAUGGUCUGUUGCAACGUGAUCCCAGUUCCUUUUGGAUUAUAGCACUCUGCCCUUCUACAUGCUUUAGGAAGCUUGAAAUCUGUCUGUUCACUGAUUUCCCUCAAGAAAUGCUGUAAGGAACCUCCAGAAGAGAUAAACACUGCUGUGCUUAGAGCAGUUUGGACAACUA
Molecule: long non-coding RNA, 1721 nt
Filed under: Equus caballus (horse)
Lineage: Eukaryota; Metazoa; Chordata; Mammalia; Perissodactyla; Equidae
Description: lncRNA (ENSECAG00000047117.1)
Source: RNAcentral